RNAcentral lists this ribosomal RNA (346 nucleotides) under uncultured fungus. Its description in RNAcentral is "SSU rRNA". It matches the Rfam family "Eukaryotic small subunit ribosomal RNA", at positions 20 to 370 of the family's 1831-position model. The record is from RNAcentral. Lineage: Eukaryota; Fungi.
GUAGUCAUAUGCUUGUCUCAAAGAUUAAGCCAUGCAUGUCUAAGUAUAAGCAAUUAUACCGUGGAACUGCGAAUGGCUCAUUAAAUCAGUUAUCGUUUAUUUGAUAGUACCUUACUACUUGGAUAACCGUGGUAAUUCUAGAGCUAAUACAUGCUGAAAACCCCAACUUCGGGAGGGGUGUAUUUAUUAGAUAAAAAACCAAUGCCCUUCGGGGCUUCUUGGUGAUUCAUGAUAACUUUACGGAUCGCAUAGCCUUGCGCCGGCGACGGUUCAUUCAAAUUUCUGCCCUAUCAACUUUCGGUGGUAAGGUAUUGGCUUACCAUGGUUUCAACGGGUAACGGGGAAU